RNAcentral lists this long non-coding RNA (297 nucleotides) under Brassica napus (rape). RNAcentral's name for it is "long non-coding RNA (BNAP_LNC010240)". Lineage: Eukaryota; Viridiplantae; Streptophyta; Magnoliopsida; Brassicales; Brassicaceae. The record is from RNAcentral.
GGGUGGCUAAAUUAUACGGGAUAGCAACUGUGCUCCAAAACUGUGGGGUUCCGAUUGCUUAGGAGAGACUUUUUCGAGUGUGGAAGCAGAGGUUAAAGAGAUGCUUACAUCAAUGCAACACAACUGGCAAAAUACAAAUAAAUGAACAAAAAAAUCUUAAAAUUAUUUUAAACUAGGGGGCGUAGUGUAGCGACCGUGUUCCGAAGAUCGAUGUUAGGAUGAUCUGAGGACUGACUGGUCGAACUGUGAGAACGUACUGAAUGGAUUGGAUGAUGCUAAAAAGAGCUGAUCAGAGUU